RNAcentral lists this ribosomal RNA (447 nucleotides) under uncultured bacterium. RNAcentral describes it as "partial 16S ribosomal RNA". It matches the Rfam family "Bacterial small subunit ribosomal RNA", at positions 29 to 523 of the family's 1533-position model. The record is from RNAcentral.
AACGAACGCUGGCGGCAGGCCUAAAACAUGCAAGUCGAACGCCCCGCAAGGGGAGUGGCGCACGGGUGAGUAACGCGUGGGAACGUGCCCUUCAGUACGGGACAACGUCGGGAAACUGACGCGAAUACCGGAUAAUGACUCCGGUCCAAAGCUUUAUCGCUGAAGGAGCGGCCCGCGUCUGAUUAGCUAGUUGGUGAGGUAAUGGCUCGCCAAGGCUACGAUCAGUAGCAGGUCUGAGAGGAUGAUCUGCCACACUGGGACUGAGACACGGCCCAGACUCCUACGGGAGGCAGCAGUUAGGAAUAUUGGACAAUGGGGGAAACCCUGAUCCAGCCAUGCCGCGUGUGUGAUGAAGGCCCUAGGGUUGUAAAGCACUUUCGUUGGGGAUGAUAAUGACCGUACCCAAAGAAGAAGCACCGGCUAACUUCGUGCCAGCCGCCGCUGUAA